This is a non-coding RNA of Streptomyces sp., 120 nucleotides long. NCBI's taxonomy places the organism in Bacteria, Bacillati, Actinomycetota, Actinomycetes, Kitasatosporales, Streptomycetaceae. The record is from Rfam.
AAGGUCCGGAGCUUGGACGCCCGCCCCGGCGGACGGCCCCGGCGGCUACGCUGACCGCGUGCGCCUUCGGCACCGGAGGCGCAAAGCCGACAGCCGUCGCACUCAGGGAGCAUUCUCAUG